CAAUAGCGUAUAUUUAAGUUGCUGCAGUUAAAAAGCUCGUAGUUGGAUUUCGGGUGGGAAUGGCCGGUCCGCCGUUUCGGUGUGCACUUGCUACGCCCACCUUGCUGCCGGGGACGUGCUCUUGAGUUAACGCUCGGGACACGGAGUCGGCGAGGUUACUUUGAGUAAAUUAGAGUGUUCAAAGCAGGCCUACGCUCUGAAUACAUUAGCAUGGAAUAACACGAUAGGACUCUGGCCUAUCUUGUUGGUCUGUAGGACCGGAGUAAUGAUUAAGAGGGACAGUCGGGGGCAUUCGUAUUUCAUUGUCAGAGGUGAAAUUCUUGGAUUUAUGAAAGACGAACUACUGCGAAAGCAUUUGCCAAGGAUGUUUUCAUUAA
This 377-nucleotide ribosomal RNA is filed under the name uncultured eukaryote. RNAcentral's name for it is "partial 18S ribosomal RNA". It matches the Rfam family "Eukaryotic small subunit ribosomal RNA", at positions 592 to 976 of the family's 1831-position model. The record is from RNAcentral.